CAUUACUUCUUUCUAUGCAUCAUCAGGCAGAAUGGUCAGGGUUUGUGGCAAAAUGUGAGUCAUUGUUAACAAUAUUAACAGCUACCAUUUCAGCUGAUGCUUCAGCACAAGCCAUGAUGGACGGAAACAGAAGCAGGGCCAUGCAUGUUUUGAAUCUGGUUCGUGAUCCAAACUGUCUUCAGUCAUGACUGCCAAAACUAGAAAUGAAGCCAGCAACGGGAAAAAUCUGUGUGAAGGCCAUUCUACGAUAUUUCCAUCCAGAAAGACUCAUGAAUCCCCCAGGAAAGUCUUCUCCCAGGAGCAUCCCACUUUCUUCCAAUGAGCUUCUGAGGUCUGAAGAACUGAGUUAAAGUCCCUUCUGGCUAACACUCUGCCACCUGCUUUCCUUCUCAUCGUUCACAGCACUGCAGAGACUGCUGAAAAGAAUACCAACAGGUCAGUUCAAGAAUAGACAUGGAAACAGGCAACCAGCUACAGAAUGGAGUGAAAUUCAUCAGUAGAGGAA
This is a long non-coding RNA of Pogoniulus pusillus (Red-fronted tinkerbird), 505 nucleotides long. RefSeq lists it as uncharacterized. The record is from RefSeq and is a predicted model, not a curated record. The transcript is spliced from 3 exons. NCBI's taxonomy places the organism in Eukaryota, Metazoa, Chordata, Aves, Piciformes, Lybiidae.